GGAGGAGGAGAGGAGGCCUGUGGGCGCGCCGCCCGCCCGCCCGCCCGCGCUCGAGUUCCUCCGCUCCUUCGAGCAGCACCGCCGCAGGGCCUCCUCAUCGAUCCCGUGCGAAGCGUGGAGCUCCUCCUGUGAUUCUAUCGAUCUCCCGCGUGGUGCAAGCUUUCCCGCCAGGCUCCCCGCCAAUCUCCAAUCCAUAUCUCGCCUCACUUCUCCCUUCCAAUCUCAUCGCGAGUGGCCGGUGGCUAUGGUAGGUCUCUGCGGCGUUGCCGGCGUAGGCCGCACAGCAGCGCCGUUCGAUGGCGGGCCUAGAGAAGAAUGGCCGGCGGCCCCUGCAAACGGACGGCUUCUUCACCGAGAGGUCUAACUCACGCGUCACCACAUCAGGGAUUCGUGAACCUGAAAUCUUCACCAUGACAGCCUCCGCCAAGUGCAGCAUGUUGGCAGCCACGGAGGUCAAUCCUCUUCCACAAAUCCUAGGAGGCAAGGUGCCAGUAAAAGGGAUGAUGGAAGGCUUCAGAAGAUGGAAGGCGCUAUGUAGGAAAUAAGAAGAUGAAAAUUUGAGUGGCAGUGGAUUUUUUAAGUUUGUCAGGUUGCAUAUUUUGGUCAUUUAUCGCUUUAAUUUGGGUGAGAAACUGCUUAAUGAUGAGUUCUACAUUGGACUGCGGCAAAAACGUGCAACUGGCAAGGAAUAUCAUGAGCUUAUAGAAGAAUUCAUGAGCGCUGUGGUGCAAAUCUACGGUGAGAAAGUCCUCAUUCAGUUUGAGGACUUUGCCAAUCAUAAUGAUUUUGAUCUGCUUGAAAAAUAUAGCAAGAGCCAUCUUGUUUUCAAUGAUGAUAUCCAGGGCACAGCACCAGUGGUCCUUGCAGGUUUGUUAGCAUCACUCAAGGUGGUUGGUGGGACCCUAGCAGAGCACACUUAUUUGUUCCUUGGUGCUGGGGAGGCUGGAACUGGCAUAGCAGAACUCAUUGCUCUUCAGAUUUCAAAACAGGUGAAGGUAAAAAAAUUUAUGGUAGAUGUCAGGUCCAUCAACAGCCUUGAUACAUGUCCAAGUCAUGAGCUUUCUCAAGACAAUAAUCUUAAUGAAACUUCACAAGCGCGACAGGAUUUGGCAGAAGGUAGUCAUUGUCUUUCAAAAGGAAGUUCUCACCAGUGGUGAAAUGAGAAGCCAUUGUUGGACUUGUUGCUUGUGAGUUUGCAGAUGAUCUCAACCAUUGCCACAUGUUCUUAUGCUUGGUUAUUUGUCCGUUCUUAAUUUAUACUUAAACAAAUGCAUCAACUGAAGUUUGACUAUAUCCUAUUUGAGCCGGCCAAAGGGUCAACAUCUGUAGUCGCUCCUGUUAAGUCCAUCUCCAGGAUGGAAGUUCUCAAAUCAAUGUUGCUUCUUGCUGAAAAAAAAACCGGAUGAGACAGCGGAGCACUCAAGAAGCUCUACCAAAUCCUUGUGCAACAGUGUUGAUAGGGAGCAAGUUGACACCGACAAACAAGAUGGGGUACAACUUUGACAAUGGUUUGUUGCUGACCAGCAAGAGUUAGCUACCUUGAAGAAGAAGACGGAAGAAUCAGAAUCAACUCUCAAAUUGCAAUCAGCCGAGAUUGAGAACUUGAAGAAGGUAACAAAAGAUAGUGAAGCACUCCUUCAUCGAUUGCUAACCUAUACAAGAGGAAAAUGUUAAGAUCAAUGCUCUACUUUAUCUCUUGAGAUUAUGACAUGGAGGCAGCUUUGUUAAUCUCUAUUAUUUGUGAGACAGUUAUCUUUUAAUACUUUGUGAUAUGUGAUGAACAAUAUGGUAGUGGUUGUCUCGAUUGGGAACAAUAAUUUGUUUUCUUGUAUACAUAAAUAUAUGUGUUCUAGUUAUUUUUUUACCAACCA
Molecule: RNA transcript, 1871 nt
Organism: Setaria italica (foxtail millet)
Lineage: Eukaryota; Viridiplantae; Streptophyta; Magnoliopsida; Poales; Poaceae
Gene name: NADP-dependent malic enzyme, chloroplastic
Exons: 9
Source: RefSeq, a predicted model, not a curated record